GAUUAUAUAUGGCUCCGAUUGCACAACUUCUUCACUCCAGCCCUGGACCAGACACAGAAGACAACGACGGUCAUCUCCAAAACGGUAGCUGCUGUUUCUUCAACAAGCUGCAAGAACAAUGGCAAGCUGGUGCAACUCUCCCAAGGUGACCCUCUACGAGAAACAAUGUUUUACCGGUAGAUGUCUGCAAGUCUUCGAGGAUCGCCCUAAUUUGGGAGGGUUUGACAACUCGGUUUCCUCGGCCAUUGUACACGAGGGAGAUUGGGGCCUUUACAGUGAGAUCAAAUAUUCCGGGAAGCGGAUCAUAAUAUCUGAGGGACAGAGCUACCCUUCUCUUCCUGGUUUGAACAACGCUGCAUCCUCCAUCGCUAAACUUUAAGAUGAAGACAGCACAAAGCAGCAGCUCUUUCAUAGAUGGAAGACUCGUGGAUAUAACAACUUGUUUACUAUUCUCCUAAGCACCUACACUCGUAGUGAGCCAGUCCAUCAAUGCUGUAUGUAAUAAAGUCCCUUUAUCUCUGACACGUGUAUCCCCUUGUAGCCAGUUCUGUUGAAACAAGUACACCUGGAAGGCAAAAGCAAAUAUUAUAUUGUUAAAUUGGAAGAAUUGUUCCAAAAAUAUCCUUUGAUACUUCAUGCUUCAAAACUGCACGCCAAGUAGGUAUUUUAAUAGGAGCGGCGACGCAGAUGUCUAAAAAACAUGGACUGUUAUAGUAACUUUGACCUUUUAUUGAUAAUGAAACAGAAAAAUGAACAAACGUGUAAAUGCUUGGAUUUAUAGUUGCGAGAUCAGUUGUGCCAUUAAACGUCAAUAAAAGAUUUUAAAAUGUC
This is a long non-coding RNA of Haliotis rufescens (red abalone), 831 nucleotides long. RefSeq lists it as uncharacterized. Lineage: Eukaryota; Metazoa; Mollusca; Gastropoda; Lepetellida; Haliotidae. The transcript has 5 exons. The record is from RefSeq and is a predicted model, not a curated record.